GACGAACGCUGGCGGCGUGCUUAACACAUGCAAGUCGAACGGAAAGGCCCUGCUUUUGUGGGGUGCUCGAGUGGCGAACGGGUGAGUAACACGUGAGUAACCUGCCCUUGACUUUGGGAUAACUUCAGGAAACUGGGGCUAAUACCGGAUAGGAGCUCCUGCUGCAUGGUGGGGGUUGGAAAGUUUCGGCGGUUGGGGAUGGACUCGCGGCUUAUCAGCUUGUUGGUGGGGUAGUGGCUUACCAAGGCUUUGACGGGUAGCCGGCCUGAGAGGGUGACCGGCCACAUUGGGACUGAGAUACGGCCCAGACUCCUACGGGAGGCAGCAGUGGGGAAUAUUGCACAAUGGGCGGAAGCCUGAUGCAGCAACGCCGCGUGCGGGAUGACGGCCUUCGGGUUGUAAACCGCUUUCGCCUGUGACGAAGCGUGAGUGACGGUAAUGGGUAAAGAAGCACCGGCUAACUACGUGCCAGCAGCCGCGGUGAUACGUAGGGUGCGAGCGUUGUCCGGAUUUAUUGGGCGUAAAGGGCUCGUAGGUGGUUGAUCGCGUCGGAAGUGUAAUCUUGGGGCUUAACCCUGAGCGUGCUUUCGAUACGGGUUGACUUGAGGAAGGUAGGGGAGAAUGGGAUUCCUGGUGGAGCGGUGGAAUGCGCAGAUAUCAGGAGGAACACCAGUGGCGAGGGCGGUUCUCUGGGCCUUUCCUGACGCUGAGGAGCGAAAGCGUGGGGAGCGAACAGGCUUAGAUACCCUGGUAGUCCACGCUGUAAACGGUGGGUACUAGGUGUGGGGUCCAUUCCACGGGUUCCGUGCCGUAGCUAACGCUUUAAGUACCCCGCCUGGGGAGUACGGCCGCAAGGCUAAAACUCAAAGGAAUUGACGGGGCCCCGCACAAGCGGCGGAGCAUGCGGAUUAAUUCGAUGCAACGCGUAGAACCUUACCUGGGUUUGACAUGGAUCGGGAGUGCUCAGAGAUGGGUGUGCCUCUUUUGGGGUCGGUUCACAGGUGGUGCAUGGCUGUCGUCAGCUCGUGUCGUGAGAUGUUGGGUUAAGUCCCGCAACGAGCGCAACCCUUGUUCACUGUUGCCAGCACGUUAUGGUGGGGACUCAGUGGAGACCGCCGGGGUCAACUCGGAGGAAGGUGGGGAUGACGUCAAGUCAUCAUGCCCCUUAUGUCCAGGGCUUCACGCAUGCUACAAUGGCUGGUACAGAGAGUGGCGAGCCUGUGAGGGUGAGCGAAUCUCGGAAAGCCGGUCUCAGUUCGGAUUGGGGUCUGCAACUCGACCUCAUGAAGUCGGAGUCGCUAGUAAUCGCAGAUCAGCAACGCUGCGGUGAAUACGUUCCCGGG
RNAcentral lists this ribosomal RNA (1343 nucleotides) under uncultured bacterium. RNAcentral describes it as "16S ribosomal RNA". It matches the Rfam family "Bacterial small subunit ribosomal RNA", at positions 28 to 1378 of the family's 1533-position model. The record is from RNAcentral.